GAUGAACGCUGGCGGCGUGCCUAACACAUGCAAGUCGAACGGAGUCCAGCCUUUAAGGCCUUCGGGUCAAAGAGGGGAAGACUGAGUGGCGGACGGGUGAGUAACACGUGGGCAACCUGGCUCAUAGAGGGGGAUAACAGAGAGAAAUUUCUGCUAAUACCGCAUAAGCACACACUGCCGCAUGGCAGAGGGUGAAAAGAGAAUCGCUAUGAGAUGGACCCGCGUCUGAUUAGCCAGUUGGCAGGGUAAGAGCCUACCAAAGCGACGAUCAGUAGCCGAUCUGAGAGGAUGAACGGCCACAUUGGGACUGAGACACGGCCCAAACUCCUACGGGAGGCAGCAGUGGGGGAUAUUGCACAAUGGGGGGAACCCUGAUGCAGCGACGCCGCGUGAGUGAAGAAGUAUUUCGGUAUGUAAAGCUCUAUCAGCAGGGAAGAUAAUGACAGUACCUGAAUAAGAAGCCCCGGCUAACUACGUG
This 478-nucleotide ribosomal RNA is filed under the name uncultured bacterium. RNAcentral's name for it is "partial 16S ribosomal RNA". It matches the Rfam family "Bacterial small subunit ribosomal RNA", at positions 28 to 507 of the family's 1533-position model. The record is from RNAcentral.